UACAGAGGGUGCGAGCGUUAAUCGGAAUUACUGGGCGUAAAGCGUGCGCAGGCGGUUUUGUAAGUCUGUCGUGAAAUCCCCGGGCUUAACCUGGGAAUGGCGAUGGAGACUGCAAGGCUAGAAUCUGGCAGAGGGGGGUAGAAUUCCACGUGUAGCAGUGAAAUGCGUAGAGAUGUGGAGGAACACCGAUGGCGAAGGCAGCCCCCUGGGUCAAGAUUGACGCUCAUGCACGAAAGCGUGGGGAGCAAACAGG
Molecule: ribosomal RNA, 253 nt
Filed under: uncultured bacterium
Lineage: Bacteria
Description: partial 16S ribosomal RNA
Rfam family: Bacterial small subunit ribosomal RNA
Source: RNAcentral